RNAcentral lists this ribosomal RNA (443 nucleotides) under uncultured bacterium. RNAcentral's name for it is "partial 16S ribosomal RNA". It matches the Rfam family "Bacterial small subunit ribosomal RNA", at positions 338 to 795 of the family's 1533-position model. The record is from RNAcentral.
CCUACGGGAGGCAGCAGUGGGGAAUAUUGGGCAAUGGGCGCAAGUCUGACCCAGCAACGCCGCGUGAAGGAUGAAGGCUCUCUGGUUGUAAACUUCUUUUCUCAGGGACGAAGCAUGUGACGCUACCUGAGUAUUAUGCCACGGCUAAAUACGUGCCCGCAGCCGCGGUAUUCCGUAGGUGGCGAGCGUUCUGCGGAUGGACUGGGUGUACAGGGCGUGUAGGCGGGAAAGGAAGUCAGAUGUGAAAAGCAUGGGCUCAACCGGGGGCCUGCAUUGGACACUGUUGUGCUUGAGUACUGGGGAGGCAGACGGAAUUCCUGGUGUAGCGGGGAAAUGCGUAGAUAUUAGGAGGAACACCAGGGGCGAAGGCGGUCUGCUGGACAGCAACUGACGCUGAGGCGCGAAAGCGUGGGGAGCAAACAGGAUUAGAUACCCGGGUAGUC